UGGAACACAGGAUAACUCAGCUUUUCCCAGUGCCUGCUAGGAAAAGCUCCCUUCCCCUCUGUCCCUAGAGGAUCUUAGUCACCUGAUAUCCGCUUGAUUAGCCCCCAGCGAUUCUUGGUACAACUAGGCUACAGCAACAAGCAGGAGGCAGAAUAAAGGGCAGAGGAAGGAAAAAGAUUGGUGGAUAGAGACUUGGAGGACAGAGCGCUGAACACGUAACUGGGCAAUCCCUUCACACAAAGGUGGAUCAGGAAGCCAUGGCGAGGACCCUCUGUGAUUCUGAUCUUGAGAGCGACGUGUAAACUGUCUCUGUCUUCUACUUUGAGUACCUUGUUGGUAAUCAGAAACCCUGUGUGACCUGUGGCCAGAAUACGAAGAGUUGAUGCACCCUUGUUUAUUACAAUUUGAGGCACCCCUUGGACCAGGAUGUCCCCAUGCUGAGGAGGAUCCUCUACAAUGAAGGUCAACAUUAAGUCAUCUGUAUCCUCAUCUGUGCCCUGGAUGACAUUAGCAGUGAUUUCAGCAGCACCAUUCUCCAGCACAUCCAAGUAGGAACCAACAGUGCCCGGGGGCAACCGUAAGUCAGGAGGUGGCUGGCCUUGACGGAGGAGGAGCUGCCCUGCAGCAGGGCCAGACUCCACUGUGAAGAGCAGGACGGCAUCCUGUGAG
Dromaius novaehollandiae (emu) is the source of this 669-nucleotide long non-coding RNA. RefSeq lists it as uncharacterized. The record is from RefSeq and is a predicted model, not a curated record. The transcript has 4 exons. Lineage: Eukaryota; Metazoa; Chordata; Aves; Casuariiformes; Dromaiidae.